Long non-coding RNA from Eptesicus fuscus (big brown bat), 829 nucleotides. RefSeq lists it as uncharacterized. The transcript has 6 exons. The record is from RefSeq and is a predicted model, not a curated record. NCBI's taxonomy places the organism in Eukaryota, Metazoa, Chordata, Mammalia, Chiroptera, Vespertilionidae.
GUGGCCUCAGCGUGGGCAGAGCAGCAGAGAGGAGCCAGUUACUCAGAGGACAGAUGCUUCAUGGAAGCCUCCAACACAAGCAGUCGACCUCUAAAGCCUCCAACAGCCUUUUCCAAGCAACAGAAUUUUCGCAAGGAACACAUACUAGCAUCUUGUGGAGCAUGUUCUGUGUAACUCGCUGUGUAGGCUGUUUGAGAGGAUUACAUGAGAUGCUAACCACAUGACUCCCAGCACAGCUCCCAGCACACGCAUCGUGGACACCCAGCACGAAAGAAGGACCACAUAAGGUGGAAUUAAAGAAGUGUGUCCUUUGGAAGCUGAAAGGUGGCCCUGAUCCCCAUUGUGAGUGAAAGUGUGAAUGCCUUCCAGAAUUUCUUCCAGAACUUGUACCUAGAGUGCAGAGAGUGGAAGGGAGGAGAGAGACACAGAGAAAGGAACAUCGAUGUGAGAGAGAUACACUGAUUGUUUGCCUCCGACAUGAGCCCUGACCAGGGCCGAGGAUCAAGCCUGCAACUGAGAUAUGUGCCAUUGACUGGAAUCGAACGCAGAGCCCUUCAGUCCGAGAGCCAACAUUCUAUCCACUGAGCCAAACUGGUUAGGAGGAAAGUAAGUCCUUUUGACAUGAAUCACACCACCACCCUUCCCGCACUGCAGAUGUCAACCUCUACCCUACUUAGAUGCGGCAGUCCUUGGAAAAACCCAGAACAGAAACUUCCCUGCCAAGUGAAGAGUUGCUCACUGGAGUGGCUUCAGGAAAUGCAAAUCGAAUGUCUGUUAGUGGUAUUUAAAGACAUGAAGGGUUUCUAUGUGUGUUAAACUGAAAAUAUGA